Molecule: long non-coding RNA, 1814 nt
Filed under: Equus asinus (donkey)
Lineage: Eukaryota; Metazoa; Chordata; Mammalia; Perissodactyla; Equidae
Description: lncRNA (ENSEASG00005031892.1)
Source: RNAcentral
GACUUUUCCAAAAUGAAGACACGCCAUCUACUCCAGCGCAUACCGCACACACGGAGGAAUUUUGCGAGGUCAGAGAUCUUCGUGGAGCCUGGGACACCGGGGGUUAACGCCUGUCCCUGGCAGCUGAGCAGCCCCACAGCUGCCAGCAAUUAGGCCGGCUGGCAGGCCCCUUAGGAAACUCCUGCCGCCUGAUGAGGACUAAUUGCUAGCCAGCAUGUAAGUCCCGAUCGAUAGAAAUGGAAAUCCAUUAGGGAAAGGCUGGGCAGGGACACCCUGCCUUCUGGCGAGCGUGCACGUCCGUGGAGACGCCCCGUAUUGACUGCGUGCUCCGAACGCGCUCCCCGUGCCCGCGUUACUGGACAGUUACGCUGAGAAGGACUCUCGUGGUUUCCCUUUGACCCCAAAAGAGAGUCUUCUUUACCCCCUGUUUUGGUCUAUAACUGAAAGAAGCCUGUUUCUACCAAGAAUGGCAUGACGACAACCGUUCCUUGGGGAUCCAAGCAAUGUGUCGGGGGAGUGUGCAGAGGGCACAUGCCUGGGCGCCUCGGACGCUUGGUCCAGGUGUGGGCUGUGGCUGGGCCUUCGAGUGCGGGCGGUUCUUCUGUAUUAGGGAGACUCGUUCACAGACUCAUUGGCAGCUGCUGAAAAAACUUACUUCAGACCCUUGCCAGUUUGAAAUUUGUGACCGGGUGCCAGAGAAGAUGGCAGUGUUCAUGGGAACUAUUUCAACCAACUGUAUGCUGGUUCUGAGAAUACAAAGAGGUGUAAGAUCUGGGACUUGCCGUCAAGGGAUCCUACGGUCUAUGCAAGUUCAAAAAAAGGAGAUGACAGAAGGACUAUAUAAACUGCUUCUGAGAACAAGAUAGGAUUUUUAACACCACCACGACCACCAAAUUUUAAUUGAUUUUUUUUGUCAAAAAUGAACCACACGCUCACAUACACACGGAGUUUUGAGUUUUAACCUAUUUUGAAAUUCAAACAUAUUGUAACGAAAUGUGGAUUGUAUUAUUUGAGAAAAUACAUUUGUGAGCUCACUUUAGGAUAAGUGCAGCAGAAGGCGAACAGAAAAGACUGCAGCUGGAAUGACCUGGAUUACGCUGUGCGGUUACAUCUCUAAGGAGACAAAUUAGGAGAGACAGCGGACAUCAUACUCAGAGCUGGACUUUGGGGAGCUCUGCUCUCCAACAGACGUCGCUUUAUGGAGCCCUUCGAAACCCUCGAGGUAAACGGAAUUUGCGUCCCCCUCACUCGAGGAACAGGUGCGAGGUGAGGCUGAGAGGGGCCAUGGGAACAGAAUCCGCUUGCCCUGAAGCCUUGCGCUGACACCAGCAGGAAUAUGAACGUGACGUCUUUGAGUGUGUGCUUCUGGAAAGCGUCUCAGUGACAGGACUCAGAACAGCAUCUUGGCGAGGGCCAACACAGGCACCGUGUCGGGAAAAAAUGUUUCUAUCUAGCCCAGGGGUUUGUAUCCUGUCAGAAGUGGACGGCCACAUUCUUCUGUGUGGUUGGGAGUUCUUUUCCAAGUGAAAAUCAGCAUACAAACAGUCCUCUGGUUGCCAUCCUCUGAGAAUUCCAACCUUCCAAAUGGACGCAGCCACCCUGUGGGACGCAGCUUCAGCUCGGUCUUCCAGCCCGACGGCUGCAGUCAGACUCCGCCAUGGGUUUAGGUAAAGCCUUGACUGUGAUGGGAAAGAUCCAGCAUUGUUUCAUGUGCAUGAUCUCAAAUGCAAUGAGUUCCUGUCUGGGGAGCAUCGGAUACUUCACUUCCUAGUCUUGCCCCAUUUUUCCAUCACACGUGUCUUACUAUUGGAGAG